Molecule: ribosomal RNA, 670 nt
Filed under: Chromobacterium violaceum
Lineage: Bacteria; Pseudomonadati; Pseudomonadota; Betaproteobacteria; Neisseriales; Chromobacteriaceae
Description: bacterial SSU rRNA
Rfam family: Bacterial small subunit ribosomal RNA
Source: RNAcentral
CUGGCUCAGAUUGAACGCUGGCGGCAUGCUUUACACAUGCAAGUCGAACGGUAACAGGGUGCUUGCACCGCUGACGAGUGGCGAACGGGUGAGUAAUGCGUCGGAAUGUACCGUGUAAUGGGGGAUAGCUCGGCGAAAGCCGGAUUAAUACCGCAUACGCCCUGAGGGGGAAAGCGGGGGAUCGAAAGACCUCGCGUUAUACGAGCAGCCGACGUCUGAUUAGCUAGUUGGUGAGGUAAGAGCUCACCAAGGCGACGAUCAGUAGCGGGUCUGAGAGGAUGAUCCGCCACACUGGGACUGAGACACGGCCCAGACUCCUACGGGAGGCAGCAGUGGGGAAUUUUGGACAAUGGGGGCAACCCUGAUCCAGCCAUGCCGCGUGUCUGAAGAAGGCCUUCGGGUUGUAAAGGACUUUUGUCAGGGAGGAAAUCCCGCUGGUUAAUACCCGGCGGGGAUGACAGUACCUGAAGAAUAAGCACCGGCUAACUACGUGCCAGCAGCCGCGGUAAUACGUAGGGUGCGAGCGUUAAUCGGAAUUACUGGGCGUAAAGCGUGCGCAGGCGGUUGUGCAAGUCUGAUGUGAAAGCCCCGGGCUUAACCUGGGAACGGCAUUGGAGACUGCACAGCUAGAGUGCGUCAGAGGGGGGUAGAAUUCCACGUGUAGCAGUGA